This 647-nucleotide ribosomal RNA is filed under the name Limosilactobacillus fermentum. RNAcentral describes it as "bacterial SSU rRNA". It matches the Rfam family "Bacterial small subunit ribosomal RNA", at positions 208 to 845 of the family's 1533-position model. The record is from RNAcentral. Lineage: Bacteria; Bacillati; Bacillota; Bacilli; Lactobacillales; Lactobacillaceae.
UCUCGCUAUCACUUCUGGAUGGACCUGCGGUGCAUUAGCUUGUUGGUGGGGUAACGGCCUACCAAGGCGAUGAUGCAUAGCCGAGUUGAGAGACUGAUCGGCCACAAUGGGACUGAGACACGGCCCAUACUCCUACGGGAGGCAGCAGUAGGGAAUCUUCCACAAUGGGCGCAAGCCUGAUGGAGCAACACCGCGUGAGUGAAGAAGGGUUUCGGCUCGUAAAGCUCUGUUGUUAAAGAAGAACACGUAUGAGAGUAACUGUUCAUACGUUGACGGUAUUUAACCAGAAAGUCACGGCUAACUACGUGCCAGCAGCCGCGGUAAUACGUAGGUGGCAAGCGUUAUCCGGAUUUAUUGGGCGUAAAGAGAGUGCAGGCGGUUUUCUAAGUCUGAUGUGAAAGCCUUCGGCUUAACCGGAGAAGUGCAUCGGAAACUGGAUAACUUGAGUGCAGAAGAGGGUAGUGGAACUCCAUGUGUAGCGGUGGAAUGCGUAGAUAUAUGGAAGAACACCAGUGGCGAAGGCGGCUACCUGGUCUGCAACUGACGCUGAGACUCGAAAGCAUGGGUAGCGAACAGGAUUAGAUACCCUGGUAGUCCAUGCCGUAAACGAUGAGUGCUAGGUGUUGGAGGGUUUCCGCCCUUCAGUG